Long non-coding RNA from Ceratitis capitata (Mediterranean fruit fly), 1281 nucleotides. RefSeq lists it as uncharacterized. The transcript is spliced from 3 exons. NCBI's taxonomy places the organism in Eukaryota, Metazoa, Arthropoda, Insecta, Diptera, Tephritidae. The record is from RefSeq and is a predicted model, not a curated record.
UUUGAUAUUCAAAGAAAACUCGCAUUUCUUUUUAAAUGAUCGAUCGGAUGUUCAUUUCUAAGUAAAGAGGAAGAGGAGUAUUGGAAAAUUAAAUCAACUAGGAUUACAGGACCGCAUCCUAUUUUGAAGUUUUCCUUCAGCAAAUCGCAGAGUGACUGCUGUAUGCCGGCCUCAAUAGCUUCACGAGUUACAUCUUUGAGGUCUUGAAUAGACGUUGGCCUAUUGGCGUAGACCUUUUCUUUCAAGUGGUCUCAAAGGAAGAAGGCGCAAGAUGAACACAAGAUCUCGGUGGCCAAAUGCGAUCAACUCUUUGUGAGAUCCGGAAAGUUUUCCAUUAAAGGAUCGACGGUUUUUUUCUGCUAAUGUGAAAUACCGUUACGCCUUUGUAUUGCUCAAUUAUUUACGCUUCAUUCGGAACGAUUUGCGGCGCUGCUGCUAUUCAAACGGAAAAAUUAUGGAAAAAUAAAAAUGUUGCUUGGCCAAUACUGGCAAUAAUCAUGCAUAAUUCUUUUACAACAGCAAUAAACAAAUCUAAUUUAGCAUCACGAAUGAAACACCUAAGAGAAACAGUAAAACGAGGUCAAAUGUCAAGUAACAGUAAAAAAAGAGAAAAACAUGAAGAAAACAACGCGAAACAGGUUAAACUUUAUGUGUAAGAAAAGAAGAAGAAGAAGACCUAAGAAGCAGCAGAAACAGCAAAUGCAAAAGUAGUAAUAGAAAUAAAAUAGUCAAAUGAGCAAUUAAAGAAAACGUUUUUAUGCAUAUACAUAUCUACUCACAUACAUAUAUGUAUCUACAGAUAUGUAUAGGUGAAUGUACAUUCAAGCAGCGACUAAAUAAUAAAAUACUACAAUAACUCGGAAACUCGGCAACUUGGCAAACUGGCAAUACACAAUGGUAAUUAAAAAUCCACCUGUCGAUGAGAGAGGCAGAAAAUCAGCGAACCAAGCAAUGGACAACUAAAUCAGCUGCCUGCAGCUGAGUAUGAGGAAACAAAAUUAAAACAAAAUGGUGCAUUACAGCAACAGCAGCAGCCACAGUAGCUGCACAUACCUACAGUUGCGAGCAAGGAAAUGGUAACGUUAAAGUUUAAAAUAGAUUUUCAUCAGCAAUUAUAUGGAAGAAAAUGAGCACCACUAGAAGCGAAAAUAAUACUUUCAAGUACGGCUUGUUGAUGUAAAAAUAAAUAAAAAUACUACUACAUUUGUAUAUACAUACUAGUGCUCUGGAUAACCGGGUAUCGAGGACUACAAGCAAUGAAAUGAAAAACUUAAAUAAUUA